GAAAGGUGGCCGAGUGGUUUAAGGCUCCAGUCUUGAAAACUGGCGAGGGUGCAAGCCCUCCGUGGGUUCGAAUCCCACCCUUUCC
This 85-nucleotide transfer RNA is filed under the name uncultured Phascolarctobacterium sp. It matches the Rfam family "tRNA". Rfam says of the family: Transfer RNA (tRNA) molecules are approximately 80 nucleotides in length. Their secondary structure includes four short double-helical elements and three loops (D, anti-codon, and T loops). Further hydrogen bonds mediate the characteristic L-shaped molecular structure. tRNAs have two regions of fundamental functional importance: the anti-codon, which is responsible for specific mRNA codon recognition, and the 3' end, to which the tRNAs corresponding amino acid is attached (by aminoacyl-tRNA synthetases). tRNAs cope with the degeneracy of the genetic code in two manners: having more than one tRNA (with a specific anti-codon) for a particular amino acid; and 'wobble' base-pairing, i.e. permitting non-standard base-pairing at the 3rd anti-codon position. The record is from RNAcentral. Lineage: Bacteria; Bacillati; Bacillota; Negativicutes; Acidaminococcales; Acidaminococcaceae.